CAGGUCACUGAGAAGCAAACCUGCAGAUGCAGUAGACGGCUGGCGCCAUGGCCUCAGAUGCAAGUCACAUGUUAGAAGCAGCCUUGGAACAAAUGGAUGAUAUUAUUGCUGGUUCCAAGGCUGCGGUGGGGUUCAGUAAUGGGCUGUAUGAUCUGGGCUCUCCUGUGAGCGCCGGGCCCCUGCCGGUUCUCCAGCUGGCUGAGGAGCUGAGACUGGCACUGGAGCUCCAGGUCAGGGACAAGGACUGCAACUCACUGCGCUCCCAGCUGCCCUGCACCACCGCACAGACCCUCAUGGAGUGGCUGGAGAAAGGAUCGGUUAACCUCCAGUGCUCAAGCAACAAUGAGACCUAUCAAGAGCGGCUGGCGAGAUUAGAAGGCAACAAAGAGUCUCUGGUUCUCCAGGUGAGUGUUCUCACUGACCAGGUUGAAGCUCAAGGGGAAAAGAUCAGAGAUCUGGAAAGUUCCCUGGAAGAACACCACCACAAACUCAUUUCUACUGAGCAAAUGCUUCAACAGGAGCUCCUUAGACGAACCUCACUGGAGACACAGAAACUGGAACUCGUGGAUGAAGUUUCCUAUCUGAAACUCAAGCUAGUCGGCAUGGAGGAGGAACACAACCACAAUGAUGAACAGGAGAAACAUAAUAAAGCUGAGAGUGUGGUUAAUCUAAUUAGUGAACUACAGGAGCAGAUGUGUAAAUUCCAGGAGGAAAUCAGCAAUCGUAUCCAGGAGCAGCGAGCUCGGGAGAGCCUGGGCGAGAAUGGCACACGCGAGGCUCUCGACCAGAGCCCCGAUGUGGGCCUUGGUGCCUCUGAUGCUGAGGAAUGCAGCUGCCACUGUAGAAGUGGAGGAGAGAAUGCUUUGUUACAAGAGCUUCACCUUCUUAAGAGCAAAGUUGAAGAACUGGAGGGUGAGAAAUCACAAUAUGAAAGGAAGCUCAAAGCCACUAAGACUGAGAUUGGCAAACUCCAGCAGCUGCUUGCUACGAAGAAUGCUGAAAUUGAGUGUUUACAGAAUCAGCUUCUGUCCCAAGGAACCGUCAAAGAUGACAUCACAGAGAGAGAUCAAGAGCUGCAGAGGUUAAAAACUGGAAUGGAGAUGCUAAUAGCUGCCAAUAAUGAAAAGGAUCGACACAUAGAGGAACUCAAUCUUCUGUUGGUCCAGUACAGAAAAUUAAAGGACAGCUUAGCCCUUUCUCAAGUGACCAACAAUAUGUUGCUGUCUGGCAGCAGUGAGGAGGAUCUUAAUGGCACUCGAAAAAUAAAAACCCUGACGCAUAAAGCAUACUCUGACAUUGUCAGACCGGAGCUACAGAUGUCUUCCCGAGACCCGUCGCCACUCCUGGUGUCUACAUGUUUCCAGAGGGAGCUGGACUCCAGGUCAAUACCACGGAUGCUGUCCACCAGCUUAGAAGAACUCCAAAGUGGAAGUUUACAGAUGCAUGUAGUGGGCCAACCAGUAGAGGCUGUUUUAGAGAACCGAUAUAAAUCUGAAAAUAACAAAUAUCAGACGCUUCCGGGCAAGUUUAGUCGUCCAGAGCAGAAUGGAGUGAGACUGCAGCCGUCUUCCCCACUGCAACUGUCUCCUGAUGAAAGUGAAGGCAGCGAAUUCAACCUGAGAAAGGCAGAGAAGACGGAUGAUUCGACCUUGUCUGACCUUUCACCCAUGUCGUCUGGACUAGAAUCAGGUCAGCAGUCUCCCGUUUCACCAGAGCACAAGAAGAACCAGAAAGGCAUUCGUAAAAAACUGUGGGGAAAGAUCAGGAGAACACAGUCAGGUGGUCUUCCUGCAGACGAAUCUGAUUCUGACUUCAAGCGAGGGGGUUUCAGGGCCACGGCCGGCCCUCGACUCACCUGCCUGAGCACCAAUGCCUCAGCACGUGACAGGAACAUCCCCUUCUCAAAAUGGUCUUGUGAUCAGGUGUGUGCAUGGAUGGAGGAGUUUGGUCUGGUUCAGUACGUGAAUAUGGCCAGACAGUGGGUCACCAGCGGUCAGACUUUACUCUCCUCGCAGGACAUUGAGAAGGAGCUGGGCAUUAAACAUCCACUUCACAGGAAGAAGCUCCAGCUGGCUCUGCGCUCCUUCAGCACCAGAAUCACAGAGAAAUCCUCUGAACUGGACCACAUCUGGGUCACGCGGUGGCUGGAUGAUAUUGGUUUACCACAGUACAAAGACCAGUUUAGCGAAGGACGUGUGGACGGUAGAAUGCUGCAGUACUUGACAGUGAACGAUCUGCUGUUUCUGAAAGUCACCAGUCAGCUGCAUCAUCUUAGCAUCAAGUGUGCUAUCCACGUCUUACAUGUUAACAAGUUCAACCCCAGCUGCCUCAAAAGAAGACCUGGAGAUGAGAAUAAGACAUCGCCUUCUGAGGUUGUUCAGUGGUCCAAUCACCGUGUGAUGGAGUGGCUCAGAUCAGCUGACCUGGCAGAAUACGCUCCCAACCUGAGAGGCAGCGGAGUGCAUGGAGGACUCAUAAUCUUGGAACCUCGUUUUAACUCGGACACACUUGCGAUGCUCCUGAACAUCCCCCCUCAGAAGACUCUGCUGAGGAGGCAUCUGGCCACUAAUUUCAACAUGCUGGUGGGCUCUCAGGCUCAGCAGGAGAAACAAGAGUAUCUGGAAUCAUCAGGAUACACGCCGCUAACAACCACUGCUAAAGUCCGGCCACGUAAAAUAGGUUUCUCCAGUUUUGGCCACCGUAAGAAGCGUGCUGAGGACUCCACUGACUACAUCUGCCCUCUGGACGCUUCACCACCCCAGGCCCUGCUCAAUGGGGCCAACCGACCCUACAGCGGCAUCAGGGGUCUGAGCCCCACCUUUGACAGGGACCCACCGAGACGGGAGCAGAUGUUGCACACUAAAGAAUCAGGGAUGCAGGUCGAGGCCUUUUCAAGGGGAAUUAACAACCUCACAUACUUACUCAGCCAAGACGAGUUGCUGAGAGGAAUGAGACGCAGCCAGACCGCCAUAGUGUGAUCGGCCUGGGUCACAUUAACUCCACCGUCCUGCUGAGAGUGUACCUCAACCUAACCCACCUCACCCUCAAAGCUUCAGGACCUGAACUGUGUAACACAAUCCUACAUAAUUCAGCUCAAGAACACAGCUCUACUAUUUUUGUUAUUGUGUUACUAAUUAUUUUGGAGGCGUUAUGAGGUUAUGAUGUACUGUAUGACAAUCAGAUCGGAGUUAAAGAGCAAACAAAAAAAUGAUUGUGUAAUACGCAGACAGCACUUUUCGCAAAGCCUUUCUGUCAAUAGAUAAAAUCAUCUACCUCAACCAUUGUGUUUUUCUUAAAGUAUUCGUAUAGCCAGUUGAACUGCAUGCUAACUGCAUUGCUUGAUAUACCUCUGUUAAAUCCAUCCCAAGAGUUAAAAGGGGUUUGUUGUAGUAGGGGGCUUUAAUUUGUGUAUGAAGACUUGUCCAGUGUCCAAUGUGUCCCAUAAUCCAACCGACAAACACUGUGACAAACUUUAAGAGGUCCUUAUUCAUAUAUGUUGAGCUUUAAAUGAGCAUACUUAUCUUAACAGGACUCCAAAGAGGAGAAGAAAACUCAGACCACAGGUUCACUCUCAACCAAUACCAAAGAAAGAAUAAUAUUGUUUAUAAGGGAAACCACACUUUGAACUAGACCGGCUGGACUGAAGCAAACAGAUCUCCAGUAAGCCAAAACCAGCAUUUUCAGAACCUUAUGGGCUAAACCCAACAAAACAACCUCGCCAGACCUCAUCCAGAACAAAGGAGUGUCUGCUUUUCAGGGAACCGGAGAACAAGUUCCACCCAAGUCCUUCAACCCUAAGUGACAUCUUUCUGAUGAACUACUUCAUCCUGCACAGCAGCAAUCUUACCGACAUGUUCAACUGCACGGCAAUGACCCCAGAAUAGAAGAUCCGGCUGGGUGCCAAUUGGGUCUGGGAUCAGCCGAGCAAGAACCCCCAUAUCCAGAUGGUGGCCCAGGUUCUCUUAUAAUGCUACUCUGUGCAGUGGUCACUGGUCUAUUAAAACGCACCACAUAUUAAAGUUUCUUUGGAGUUUCCAUAUGUUUUAUUCAAAACAAAACUUGAAAUUGAGGGAUUGUGAGGUCAUUGGCAGGCGACACAUUGACACUCUGGACACGGUCAAAAAUUAGUUCAGAUACACUAGUAAAAUAUGCUCAUUUCUCUGGAUUUAGACAUUCUUCAAAACAUUUGGGAUAUGCAAGUCAGCAAAAUAUAUGUUUUUGUUUUGUUUUUUGUGGAUAUUUUAAUUAAAAGAAAAAAAAAAAACUUACAUAUUGUGCCUUUAACCCCUUUAGGAUUAAAUAAUUAGUUUAUCAGGUAAAAUAAAGAUGGAAUCAGCAGACUAAUCUCGAAUUCAAUAAUCCAGCCAACAUGCACCAGCCUUUCAUUAAUCAACAACAAAUUACUUUAGUUUUGCAGAAAUAGCAGAGAUUCCCCUUUCCUUACCUUUGACUGUUGACGUUAGUAACAUGUUUUAUGUUGGUAAUAAUUUUACCACCAACGCAUAGGACUUAAUAUUUUAGUUUUCAUGACUUAAAGUGUAUUAUAUAUAAAUAAUGAGACAAUAAUGAUUGGUUAAUAAUAAUCAUGGUUUCACUGAAUAAAAUAGCCUACAUAAUGUUGGUAAUACAAAAUAAACAAUUUUCGUUAGCCUAUGUGCCUGCAAAGGGCAUCAAAGGCCAGAUAAUUGCUGUUGUUACACUUAUGGGACGAUCAAAACCUUGGUUAAUAAUGACCAAACCUUUAACUCAAAUAUCCAUUUAAAUUUAGGCCACCUAAUUGCGAUAGGAAUGUUACAGCCUCUUUUUUUUUUUUUCAACAAAAACGUUGACAUCACAAUCCUUACCAAAAGUAACCAUGGUUUUAUUACAGUAAAACUGCCUAUAUUUAUUUUGAGUGAUUUCUGAAUGCUUGAGACUAAAAAAGUCGAUCAGACAACUGUAUUAAAAAAAAUCAUAACCAUAGGUAACUGUCUCUAGAGCUAUAUUUGUAAUUUAUUAAUAAUACAAUUUAUUUAUCUACUUUUAUGUUUUAUUAAAGUUCUAUUAUAACGCCCCAAAGUAGUUUUUAAAUUAGGCACGGUCACUUUUAAAGAAAAUGCAUCCAUCGUAAUGAUACACAUCUGAUUUCUCUCAACUGUUUACUUUUCACACUUACCUAACCGUUUUUUCGAACACACUUACCAAGAUGAGUAUUUUGAAAUAUUUUGUAUGCAUUUGUCAGUACAAAAGCAAGAGUUGUUUCUUUAUUUUAGAGAAGCACAUUGUUUUGUUAUGAUUAUACACAAAUAAAAGUAGACCCUUUGCAGUUUCAU
This is an RNA transcript of Carassius gibelio (silver crucian carp), 5312 nucleotides long. It is a transcript of the gene named liprin-beta-2, with no coding region annotated. The record is from RefSeq and is a predicted model, not a curated record. Lineage: Eukaryota; Metazoa; Chordata; Actinopteri; Cypriniformes; Cyprinidae. The transcript has 27 exons.